ACCAGCGAGAAGAAAAUAUGAAAUACUCACUAGUAUCGACUGGCUGCCAGAAUUUGUCUCUGACGCUUCCAACCUUUCAGAAUGCAGCUCAGCCAGAGGGUUGUUUUUGUUUUUGUUUUUGUUUGUAUGAGUUUUUUAAAGUCUGUGGUAAUGCAGUCUAAACACAGCGCCCAAGAGGACUUGAAGGAAAUGUUUGGGGAGGAGGGGAUCUGGAGAAGCUUUGGAGCAUGAAGACUGGGAAAUACUUGGAUAAAGAGAACGCCUUGCUUUGCCUUUGAGAGUGGGCUACCAGAUCGAUGCGAGAUUGAAGAGUCGAUGGUGGGUGCAUUUAGAGCCUGGAAGCAAAGGAUGGAGGCUGCUCCUUGAAGCAGAGAGGCACGAUGGGAUCAGUCAAAGAGAUUGUAUGUGCUCCUCAGCAAUCUCAUCAUGCCUUGUUAGAAUAAGAUAAGGAUUGAAUGAAUUCAUUUCGAAGACAGAAGUCAAGUUUGGAGAAGAAUGUCCGAAACCAUUACUUAACAUCCAUUAGUCAAGCCUAUCUUAAUCAUGAGUAACAGAAACCCACUCUAUCUAGCACACACACACACACAAAAUGAAAAGGUGAGUUUUCUGCAAAGAUACAAGGUAUCUAACAAAACACAAGGGAAGGAAGUACAAUCGGACCUCAUCUCUGGAUGGUCCAGAAUUGAGCUUAUUCUCUAUGGCAGAUUAUAUUUUCCCAAA
This 720-nucleotide long non-coding RNA is filed under the name Equus caballus (horse). RNAcentral's name for it is "lncRNA (ENSECAG00000054665.1)". Lineage: Eukaryota; Metazoa; Chordata; Mammalia; Perissodactyla; Equidae. The record is from RNAcentral.